RNAcentral lists this ribosomal RNA (250 nucleotides) under uncultured bacterium. RNAcentral describes it as "partial 16S ribosomal RNA". It matches the Rfam family "Bacterial small subunit ribosomal RNA", at positions 92 to 339 of the family's 1533-position model. The record is from RNAcentral.
AUAGUGGCGAACGGGUGAGUAACACGUAAGUAACCUACCCUUAAGACUGGCAUAACCAGCCGAAAGGUUGGCUAAUUCCAGAUGUGGCUAUUCUGAUGCAUAUCAGAAUAAUUAAAUCCAGCAAUGGGCUUAAGGAUGGACUUGCGGUCUAUCAGCUAGUUGGUGAGGUAAUGGCUCACCAAGGCGAUGACGGAUAGCUGGUCUGAGAGGAUGAUCAGCCACAAGGGAACUGAGACACGGUCCCUACUCC